GCCUGGCUCACACCGGUCUAGACUCAGAUCAUGUAAAAUUUUAAAGGUCGAACAGACCUAACCAAUCAGCUACUUCACCAAUAGUAAAUUUUAAUCCAACAUCGAGGUCGCAAACUUUUUUUUUGAUUAGAACUCUAAAAAAAAUUACGCUGUUAUCCCUAAGGUAGUUUAUUCUUUUAAUCUAAACAAUAGGCUCAUUCACUCAUAAAUCAAUGAUUUAUUUUAAAAAUAAGUUUGACUAAUUUUUUUGUCACCCCAACAAAAUACUUUACUAAAUAAAAAAAAUAUUCCUUUCCUAAAUUUCCCUUUUUCUGAAAAUAUUAAACUCUAUAGGGUCUUCUCGUCUUCAAUGAAUAUUUAAGCUUUUUAACUUAAAAAUAAAAUUUUAAUAAAUUUUAAAAGAGACAGUCUUUUUCUCAUCAAACCUUUCAUACAAGCUUACAAUUAAAAAACUAAUGAUUAUGCUACCUUCGCACGGUCAAUAUACCGCGGCCAUUAAAUUCUUCAUUGGGCAGGUUAGACUUGAAAUCAUAAACAACAAGCCAUGUUUU
Molecule: ribosomal RNA, 551 nt
Filed under: Trigonopterus soiorum
Lineage: Eukaryota; Metazoa; Arthropoda; Insecta; Coleoptera; Curculionidae
Description: partial 16S ribosomal RNA
Source: RNAcentral